RNAcentral lists this long non-coding RNA (1160 nucleotides) under Mus musculus (house mouse). Its description in RNAcentral is "long non-coding RNA chr2:158765170-158766330". The record is from RNAcentral. Lineage: Eukaryota; Metazoa; Chordata; Mammalia; Rodentia; Muridae.
UGCCCUGCAGUUCCCUGUGAGCUGUGGUUCCUUGCACCCACCUAUGCUCCCCAAACUAUUAGAAAUUGGUAGCUAUCACCAGAUUGUGAAUUUCUGGCCAGUAGCUCAGGGAAUUGGAAUGAAUCCUAAACCCAGGUCUACUGAAGACUUUGGGGACAUAAUUCUUUAUCAAAUAUACAGCAUUAAUGAAGCUUCUCUGUACUAUUUGAUUAACUUGUAGACUUUUGAGAAGCUUGCCAGAGUGUGUCCCUCAGCCAGGUGUAGUGGCACACAUCUUUAAUCCCAGCACAUAGGCGGCAGAGGCAAGUGGUUGUAUUUCUGAGUUCCAAGCCAGCCUGGUCUACAGAGUGAGUUCUAGGCUAGCCAGGGCUACUCAGAGAAACCUUGUCUCCAAAAAACCAAAUAAAAAAUAAAAUAAAAUAUGGCCUCUGGGUUGGGUUAACACAGUCUAGCUUUGUAACAAUGUGAGACUCUUGGUUCUUAGUGUUCUAUACCCUCUGGUUCUGGGCGUUGUCUCCCACCUGUUCUUCUAAAGCAGGAUAUUGGGAUAUUUUCCAGAGGGGCCAUCCUUACACGAUGUUGGGACUGUCUGAACUGUCGCUAUUUGUAGCCUGGUGAUAUCCCCUUCUUCCCCAGGGCACAGAAAAGCCAAGGGUCAUAUGGCCAGGGCCAACAGCUCCACUAAAGUGACCCACCACUUUUCUAGAAAGCCCGAGACCUCUCCCUUGUUGACCAGAGGGCCUGCUUCUCAUGGGCACUUCAAAUGCCACUGUGCGGGGCCUGGCUCUGCAUACCUAGGAAAAGUCUGCAGACACCCAGCCCUCCGCAAUAAUUCACCAGACCAGAAGCCACUGAUGUACAGAGAACACUUAAGAAAAAAAAAUGUAUUUUAUGUGAAAAAAAAGUUAAAACUCUGUAUACUGUAUCAGCAGCUUUGUGUAAAAAAUGGCAAUCAAAAGAGUCUAAUAUAUUUAAAACUUUUUUAAAAAAAUAUUCUCAUGGAUCUUUGAUAUCGUUCUGAAGCAGCUCCAUGCCUCCAAGAUGGGGUCUGACCAUGUCACCAAGGGGCCUGUGCCUCUGGAGUUACUUCCAGCUGCCAAGGCCUGUGACGGAAUUCAUUGCUAUGGAUUUUUAAUUAAGAUUAUUAAAUUCCUUUUAAU